This 519-nucleotide ribosomal RNA is filed under the name Neoerysiphe galeopsidis. RNAcentral's name for it is "eukaryotic LSU rRNA". It matches the Rfam family "Eukaryotic large subunit ribosomal RNA", at positions 118 to 651 of the family's 3401-position model. Lineage: Eukaryota; Fungi; Ascomycota; Leotiomycetes; Helotiales; Erysiphaceae. The record is from RNAcentral.
AAAUCUGGCUCCUUCGGAGUCCGAGUUGUAAUUUGUAGAAGAUGCUUUGGGUUGCAGGUUCGGUCUAAGUUCCUUGGAACAGGGCGUCAUAGAGGGUGAGAAUCCCGUCUGCGGCCGUGACCUGUGCCCGUGUAAAGCUCUUUCGACGAGUCGAGUUGUUUGGGAAUGCAGCUCAAAAUGGGUGGUAAAUUUCAUCUAAAGCUAAAUAUUGGCCAGAGACCGAUAGCGCACAAGUAGAGUGAUCGAAAGAUGAAAAGCACUUUGGAAAGAGAGUUAAACAGUACGUGAAAUUGUUGAAAGGGAAGCGCUUGCAACCAGACUUGGGCGUCGUGGAUCAUCCGAGGUUCUCCUCGGUGCACUCGACGACGCACAGGCCAGCAUCGGUUUGGAUGGCUGGAAAAAGGCCCUAGAAAUGUAGCUCCUCGCGGGGAGUGUUAUAGUCUAGGGCGUAAUGCAGCCCAUCUGGACCGAGGACCGCGCUUCGGCUAGGAUGCUGGCGUAAUGGUUGUAAGCGACCCG